This 468-nucleotide ribosomal RNA is filed under the name uncultured bacterium. Its description in RNAcentral is "partial 16S ribosomal RNA". It matches the Rfam family "Bacterial small subunit ribosomal RNA", at positions 28 to 507 of the family's 1533-position model. The record is from RNAcentral.
GACGAACGCUGGCGGCGUGCUUAACACAUGCCAGUCGAACGGAAAGGCCCUGCUUUUGUGGGGUGCUCGAGUGGCGAACGGGUGAGUAACACGUGAGUAACCUGCCCUUGACUUUGGGAUAACUUCAGGAAACUGGGGCUAAUACCGGAUAGUAGCUCCUGCUGCAUGGUGGGGGUUGGAAAGUUUCGGCGGUUGGGGAUGGACUCGCGGCUUAUCAGCUUGUUGGUGGGGUAGUGGCUUACCAAGGCUUUGACGGUUAGCCGGCCUGAGAGGGUGACCGGCCACAUUGGGACUGAGAUACGGCCCAGACUCCUACGGGAGGCAGCAGUGGGGAAUAUUGCACAAUGGGCGGAAGACUGAUGCAGCAACGCCGCGUGCGGGAUGACGGCCUUCGGGUUGUAAACCGCUUUCGCCUGUGACGAAGCGUGAGUGACGGUAAUGGGUAAAGAAGCACCGGCUAACUACGUG